This 253-nucleotide long non-coding RNA is filed under the name Lathyrus oleraceus (garden pea). RNAcentral describes it as "Pisum sativum (pea) long non-coding RNA (PSAT_LNC025642)". The record is from RNAcentral. Lineage: Eukaryota; Viridiplantae; Streptophyta; Magnoliopsida; Fabales; Fabaceae.
UUUUGGUGAUGAUUUGAGAAAUUCGUGUUCUUGAGUGGCUGGAGGAAGGAGAUGAAGUUUUUGCGCCAUUUACUGUUUGAUCCAAAAUUCUAUUUGAAAAUUCAAAUACACUGUUUCCCGUUCCCGCCUUAAUGAAUUACAACUAUGCCAUUACAAUUUAAUUAAUUUAAUUCAAAUAAUUCUUAAAAAAUCAUUAACACCUUUAAAAAUUCAUAAAAAAUCAUAGAAAAUUCAGAAAAAUAUGAGAAUUUUU